This 747-nucleotide long non-coding RNA is filed under the name Takifugu rubripes (torafugu). RNAcentral's name for it is "lncRNA (ENSTRUG00000032689.1)". The record is from RNAcentral. Lineage: Eukaryota; Metazoa; Chordata; Actinopteri; Tetraodontiformes; Tetraodontidae.
UCCAAUGGGAGACAGCGAUGACGAGUUUGACAGGAGGGCGUCGGGAUAAAUUCAGGAGAGAGCGGAGCGACAUGGAGAGGUCAAGAGAGAGGAGGACAGGAGGAGGGAUGAGUGGCAAGACAGAGAGUGGGACCGGAAGCAGAGAGAGGAGGCGGGGAUUAUGACCGUGGUCGGCGAGAGCGGUUCUCUCCAUCCAGACACAUCAGCCCUCAGCACAAACGCAUGAGGAGAGACUGGGAAGACCACCGGGGGGAGCCAUACCGGUACGAGCUGCCGUACGGGGGCGGUGGUGGCAUCUACCCAGGGAUGGGGCCUCAGGGCUGGCACCCGGACUUCCCUCCCAUGCACCCCCACCCUGGAGGUCAUCCGCUGCAGGGCAGGUUGGGGAUGGUAGAUCCAGAUCUUCCUCCUCCGGGACCACCCACCCUGAAGAGUUUUAAGGAGUUCCUGUUGAACAUGGACGACAAUUGUGGACGAGACAGAGUCGGUCAAGCGCUACAACCAGUACAAGCUGGACUUCAGGCGGCAGGCAGCUGCAGGACUUCUUUCUCCAGCACAAAGACCAGGAGUGGUUCCGCUCCAAGUACCACCCAGAUGACAUGGCAGCGAAGAGGGCGGAGUCUCUGGCCGCCCUCAAGGCGCGCCUGCGUGUCUUUCUCUUCCUGCUGGACAACAGCUGGCUGGAUGAUGUGCUGCUGGACACGGACCACGCCCCCGCCAUCAUCAAGCUCAUGGACGCAGCUGUGA